RNAcentral lists this ribosomal RNA (450 nucleotides) under uncultured Glomus. RNAcentral describes it as "SSU rRNA". It matches the Rfam family "Eukaryotic small subunit ribosomal RNA", at positions 569 to 1023 of the family's 1831-position model. The record is from RNAcentral. Lineage: Eukaryota; Fungi; Glomeromycota; Glomeromycetes; Glomerales; Glomeraceae.
AGCAGCCGCGGUAAUUCCAGCUCCAAUAGCGUAUAUUAAAGUUGUUGCAGUUAAAAAGCUCGUAGUUGAAUUUCGGGGUUAGUAGGUUGGUCGUGCCUAUGGUAUGUACUGGCUUUACUGAUUCCUCCUUCUUGAAGAACUGUAAUGUCAUUAAUUUGGUGUUGCAGGGACACAGGACUGUUACUUUGAAAAAAUUAGAGUGUUUAAAGCAGGCUAACGCUUGAAUACAUUAGCAUGGAAUAAUGAAAUAGGACGUUUGAUCCUAUUUUGUUGGUUUCUAGGAUUGACGUAAUGAUUAAUAGGGAUAGUUGGGGGCAUUAGUAUUCAAUUGUCAGAGGUGAAAUUCUUGGAUUUAUUGAAGACUAACUACUGCGAAAGCAUUUGCCAAGGAUGUUUUCAUUAAUCAAGAACGAAAGUUAGGGGAUCGAAGACGAUCAGAUACCGUCGUAG